AAAUUGGGUCGUGUAUAUUAUUAACCUAAACCCGAAAUGUAUUGUCUUUAGAAACUCCGGCGAAUCACGAUGAAGAUAGUCUCCGCUGAAGUCUCCGUUUUUUUUUCCUGUUGAAGUCUCUGUUACAUACAUCGAUCGUUUCUGCCAAUUCGUGUUGGAAUCGACGCCGUCGUCUAAUCCAAUGGUGUUCUUCUCACCGCUGAACGUUACGGAAGUGGACUACAAUCAAUCGUCGUCAUUAACAAAACUUCCCCACUCCUCACACGAUUUCUUAUUCAAUGCAUUACCUCUUUUGUAUGAAUCUCCAACUAUAAAUACCUGAGUUUCACUCCAUGAAAUUCAUCUGUUUUUCUUUUCAAUCAUUAUCAUUCCUAAAACAUUUUAAGAGAAAAGAAUCCACAAGCAGAGUUCCUUGCUAGAUCGAGUAUGAAUGUGAGCUUUUCAAGUAGAACGUCCGGCCUCUUAAGAGAUGACACAAUCAAGCUCUCAAAUCUCACACCGACCACCAAUUAAGGAAGAAUCUCCUCAAGAAAUGGAGGAAGUUGAGUGAGGAUAUCGAUGAGUACAGACAGUCAUGAUGACCCUAUCUUUUCCUUUAUCCACAAAUGUCACCCACAAAACAAGCUAAACUGCUAAAGUGAUCAAGGAUUACUAGAAGUAGUAUGCACAGCUGGACAUGAAAGGAAAUAAAAUCCCUAUCUAUUCAUUUCUAACAGCAUAAUGCAAUCAUGGUGUAAUCGCGAAUAAUGGUUGUGUGAUAUUUGUUUUGUGUCUUUAUAGAUACAGAUGAUGACAGCGGCAAUUGAUGGAACACUUGACAAGGAAGAAGUUGAAGAAGAAUCUGAAGAUCUAACUAACCAGGUUAUGUAGUUACUGCAGUUUCAGUCACAAGGUGGUCGAUGAGAUUAAUGUUGGUGUUUCAUCCCAUGUUGGCUUUUCUUAAAUAGUUAUUUUUUUGUUAAGUUAAAUUUGUCAAGAAAAACAUUACAGGUGGUUUAAAAGUAAAAAGUUUGUUUCUUGCUUCGUUCUAAA
Molecule: long non-coding RNA, 1032 nt
Organism: Brassica napus (rape)
Lineage: Eukaryota; Viridiplantae; Streptophyta; Magnoliopsida; Brassicales; Brassicaceae
Exons: 4
Source: RefSeq, a predicted model, not a curated record